Molecule: long non-coding RNA, 775 nt
Organism: Carassius gibelio (silver crucian carp)
Lineage: Eukaryota; Metazoa; Chordata; Actinopteri; Cypriniformes; Cyprinidae
Exons: 2
Source: RefSeq, a predicted model, not a curated record
AAUUAUGAAAUACCCAUGAUAAAUAUCAAACACACAUGCAAUACAGAAAUGGAUAAGUUAAGACUUGACCAUUGUACAAAAAAUGCUGACUGGGUCAUGAGGUCAGAAAAGAAGAAGAAAAAAACAGGUCAAGAAGAACUGACAAAAAGAAUUGCAAAAUAAUUAGGAAUUAAUGUGAAGAUUAAUUUUUAGUCAAUUCUGCAAGACAGACUUUCAGGAAAGGAGGUGGAAUAAAAAUGAGCUCCUAAAUCUUAAUCCCAGAUUCUGGAAGAUAUAUUCCUCAAACCAUCGGACAAGAGGAGGUGGUGCUGGUCCUUCACGAGUCACUCUAAUCUGUUCAUUAAGCCUAUAUAUAAAGUCUUAAUAUAUAGUAUUUCACAAUACUUCAUGGUAUUCUAAUUAAAUCAUUUUUUGGAAUCUUAAGUCUCUCAGAGCCUGACACCGAGUAAUUCUGGAGACUCCAGGAAAGUGGCAGUUCUGUAAAAUGUUGGCGCUGGAGACUAAAUGCACCCUGAUAGAUUCACACCUAAUUCACUUAACACACACACACACACACACACAUUACCCACAGUGACAGUGGAACUGAGUGACAUCAGAUGUAUGAUAGUUUUUUAAUUUUCUAUCAUCCAUAUAGUGUUGUAUAGUCAUGAAACUAUGGUCAUGAGACCAGUCAUUCUGAGGAAAUAUGCCUCAGAAUGACUGGUCUUCUAUGUGUACAUUUUUUUGAAGUGUUUAGAAGCUGCACUUUAAAAAAAUAAAAAGACAUUUACUGGUU